RNAcentral lists this ribosomal RNA (159 nucleotides) under uncultured Atheliaceae. RNAcentral describes it as "5.8S ribosomal RNA". It matches the Rfam family "5.8S ribosomal RNA". From Rfam's summary of the family: 5.8S ribosomal RNA (5.8S rRNA) is a component of the large subunit of the eukaryotic ribosome. It is transcribed by RNA polymerase I as part of the 45S precursor that also contains 18S and 28S rRNA. The record is from RNAcentral. Lineage: Eukaryota; Fungi; Basidiomycota; Agaricomycetes; Atheliales; Atheliaceae.
CARCUUUCAACAACGGAUCUCUUGGCUCUCGCAUCGAUGAAGAACGCAGCGAAAUGCGAUAAGUAAUGUGAAUUGCAGAUUUUCAGUGAAUCAUCGAAUCUUUGAACGCACCUUGCGCCCCUUGGUAUUCCGAGGGGCAUGCCUGUUUGAGUGUCAUUA